RNAcentral lists this transfer RNA (68 nucleotides) under Pseudorimula sp. RSIO35641. RNAcentral describes it as "tRNA-Gln". The record is from RNAcentral. Lineage: Eukaryota; Metazoa; Mollusca; Gastropoda; Lepetellida; Lepetodrilidae.
UAUAGGGUAGUAUAUUGAGUACGAAGGAUUUUGAAUCCUUUAGUGGUGGUUCGUCUUACCUCUUGUAA